This 441-nucleotide unclassified non-coding RNA is filed under the name Athalia rosae (coleseed sawfly). Its description in RNAcentral is "misc RNA ENSAEAG00005004226.1". The record is from RNAcentral. Lineage: Eukaryota; Metazoa; Arthropoda; Insecta; Hymenoptera; Athaliidae.
ACGCAAUCCAAUAUUCAUGACAGGAAAUAUUCACAUGAUCUCCAGCCUCAGUUUAGAACGUACCAGCAUGGAUCAGGUUGGAUCCCAUCGCAUCAGCCGCUGCAACAGAAGACAACCGAAAAUAAAGUAAUUCUUGGUCAACAAAAGGAAAUACCCUCUUCAUUUCCGUACGCAAAUGAUGAUGAUCCGACGUCAUUUUUUGAUCUGAGCCACGAUCUGACAGCAAAAAAUAAUCUCGGAUCGCUAACUACGAGACACGACUUCGACGAGGAUCAAUCGUACUCAAACGAAGAGACAACGGGAGCUUUGGAUUAUUCUACGGAGAAAUCCGACCUAGACGUUAGGCUUGGAUUGCCGAUAACUGAAAAAGUUGUCCACACAGAUUAUGAUAAUCCGCAAAUUAUUGACGUUUCAUCGACAGAAGAAACUCAAACAUGGGCC